UUAAGCAUAUCAAUAAGCGGAGGAAAAGAAACCAACCGGGAUUGCCUCAGUAACGGCGAGUGAAGCGGCAAGAGCUCAAAUUUGAAAUCUGGCCCCUCCGGGGUCCGAGUUGUAAUUUGUAGAGGAUGCUUCGGGUGCGGCCCCCGUCUAAGUGCUCUGGAACGGGCCAUCGGAGAGGGUGAGAAUCCCGUCUGGGACGGGGUGUCCGCGUCCAUGUGAAGCUCCUUCGACGAGUCGAGUUGUUUGGGAAUGCAGCUCUAAAUGGGUGGUAAAUUUCAUCUAAAGCUAAAUACUGGCCGGAGACCGAUAGCGCACAAGUAGAGUGAUCGAAAGAUGAAAAGCACUUUGAAAAGAGAGUUAAACAGCACGUGAAAUUGUUGAAAGGGAAGCGCUUGCGACCAGACUCGCUUCCGGGGUUCAGCCGGCUUUCGGGCCGGUGUACUUCCCCGGGGGCGGGCCAGCGUCGGUUUGGGCGGCCGGUCAAAGGCCCCUGGAAUGUAACGCCUCUCGGGGCGCCUUAUAGCCAGGGGUGUCAUGCGGCCAGCCUGGACCGAGGAACGCGCUUCGGCACGGACGCUGGCAUAAUGGUCGUAAACGACCCGUCUUGAAACACGGACCAAGGAGUCUAACAUCUACGCGAGUGUUCGGGUGUCAAACCCGUGCGCGCAGUGAAAGCGAACGGAGGUGGGAGCCCCCUCGCGGGGCGCACCAUCGACCGAUCCUGAUGUCUUCGGAUGGAUUUGAGUAAGAGCGUAGCUGUGGGGACCCGAAAGAUGGUGAACUAUGCCUGAAUAGGGCGAAGCCAGAGGAAACUCUGGUGGAGGCUCGCAGCGGUUCUGACGUGCAAAUCGAUCGUCAAUUUGGGUAUAGGGGCGAAAGACUAAUCGAACCAUCUGGUAGCUGGUUCCUGCGA
This 913-nucleotide ribosomal RNA is filed under the name Aspergillus chevalieri. RNAcentral's name for it is "partial large subunit ribosomal RNA". It matches the Rfam family "Eukaryotic large subunit ribosomal RNA", at positions 34 to 963 of the family's 3401-position model. Lineage: Eukaryota; Fungi; Ascomycota; Eurotiomycetes; Eurotiales; Aspergillaceae. The record is from RNAcentral.